Molecule: ribosomal RNA, 250 nt
Filed under: uncultured bacterium
Lineage: Bacteria
Description: partial 16S ribosomal RNA
Rfam family: Bacterial small subunit ribosomal RNA
Source: RNAcentral
UGGGGAAUAUUGGACAAUGGGCGCAAGCCUGAUCCAGCAAUACCGCGUGUGUGAAGAAGGCCUUAGGGUUGUAAAGCACUUUCAAUUGGGAGGAAAACCUACCGGUCAAUACCCGGUAGCUUGACAUUACCUUUAGAAGAAGCACCGGCUAACUCCGUGCCAGCAGCCGCGGUAAUACGGAGGGUGCAAGCGUUAAUCGGAAUUACUGGGCGUAAAGCGUGCGUAGGCGGUUCGUUAAGUCAGAUGUGAA